This is a small nuclear RNA of Prolemur simus (greater bamboo lemur), 165 nucleotides long. Its record names the gene U1. It matches the Rfam family "U1 spliceosomal RNA". From Rfam's summary of the family: U1 is a small nuclear RNA (snRNA) component of the spliceosome (involved in pre-mRNA splicing). Its 5' end forms complementary base pairs with the 5' splice junction, thus defining the 5' donor site of an intron. There are significant differences in sequence and secondary structure between metazoan and yeast U1 snRNAs, the latter being much longer (568 nucleotides as compared to 164 nucleotides in human). The record is from Ensembl. NCBI's taxonomy places the organism in Eukaryota, Metazoa, Chordata, Mammalia, Primates, Lemuridae.
AUACUUACCUGGCAGGAAAGCUACCAUGAUCACAAAGGUGGUUUUCCCAGGGCAAAGCCUUACCCAUUGCACUCUAGAUGUGCUGACCCCUGCGGUUUCCCCACAUGUGGGAAACUCCACUGUAUAAUUUGUGGUAGCCGGGGAAUGCAUUUGCACUUUCCCUGU